RNAcentral lists this ribosomal RNA (1014 nucleotides) under Triticum aestivum (bread wheat). RNAcentral's name for it is "partial small subunit ribosomal RNA". Lineage: Eukaryota; Viridiplantae; Streptophyta; Magnoliopsida; Poales; Poaceae. The record is from RNAcentral.
AUGGCGGGGAGGCGGCAGGCAGCCUGGUGCCUGGUGGUCAUCGCUCUGGCAGUGACGCUGGCGGUGGCGUCGGCGCAGCCCGUGCAGCCGAGGGUGGGCGGGCCGGGGAAGAAAGGCGGCAAGAUGCCGCCGGGCAAGUUCGAGACGGUGACCUUCGCCAAGAACAACAAGCGCAAGUACGAGGUGGCCUGCACCGACAACCGCGGCCCGCCCUGCGUCGUCUCCUGCCCCAAGACCUGCCCCAACAAGUGCCUCGCCUUCUGCGAGUACUGCAUGACCUUCUGCAUGUGCGACAUGUUCCCGGGCACGUCGUGCGGGGACCCGCGCUUCACGGGCGGCGACGGCAACACCUUCUACUUCCACGGAAAGAAGGACCAGGACUUUUGCAUCGUCUCUGACAAGGACCUCCACAUCAACGCGCACUUCAUUGGCAACCACAACCCUGAUAUGAAGCGUGACUUCACGUGGGUGCAGGCCCUCGGUGUCACCUUCGUCCAUGGCGGCGCCGACCACCGCCUCUACGUGGGUGCCAAGAAGGUCGUCGAGUGGGACGAGGAGGAGGACCAUGUUCAAAUCACCCUCGAUGGGGUGCCCGUGGAGGUGGAGGCCGGCAAGAAUGCCCAAUGGGUCUCUAGGGCCAUGCCGGGGCUCUCCGUCACUCGCACCGACACGGUGAACACCGUCGUCGUGGAGCUCGACGGCGUGUUCAGCAUCUCGGCCAACGCCGUGCCCAUCACUGACGAGGACUCCCGGAUCCACAACUACGGGAAGACCAAGGACAGCCUCAUGCACCUCGACCUAGGGUUCAAGUUCCACACCCUUACUAACGGCGUCGACGGCGUGCUCGGCCAGACCUACCGCUUAGACUACAUCAGCAAGGUCAACGUCACGGCCAAGAUGCCCAUCAUGGGCGGCGCGCCCAAGUACCUCUCGGCCAGCCUCUUCUCCACAGACUGCGCCGUCUCCAGCUUCCACCGUAACGGUGACGCCGCCAUCGAGACGUUCGCCUCAUAA